RNAcentral lists this ribosomal RNA (581 nucleotides) under uncultured fungus. RNAcentral describes it as "eukaryotic LSU rRNA". The stretch from base 211 to 364 matches the Rfam family "5.8S ribosomal RNA". Lineage: Eukaryota; Fungi. The record is from RNAcentral.
AGUCGUAACAAGGUCUCCGUAGGUGAACCUGCGGAGGGAUCAUUACACAAAUAUGAAGGCGGGCUGGAACCUCUCGGGGUUACAGCCUUGCUGAAUUAUUCACCCUUGUCUUUUGCGUACUUCUUGUUUCCUUGGUGGGUUCGCCCACCACUAGGACAAACAUAAACCUUUUGUAAUUGCAAUCAGCGUCAGUAACAAAUUAAUAAUUACAACUUUCAACAACGGAUCUCUUGGUUCUGGCAUCGAUGAAGAACGCAGCGAAAUGCGAUAAGUAGUGUGAAUUGCAGAAUUCAGUGAAUCAUCGAAUCUUUGAACGCACAUUGCGCCCUUUGGUAUUCCAAAGGGCAUGCCUGUUCGAGCGUCAUUUGUACCCUCAAGCUUUGCUUGGUGUUGGGCGUCUUGUCUCUAGCUUUGCUGGAGACUCGCCUUAAAGUAAUUGGCAGCCGGCCUACUGGUUUCGGAGCGCAGCACAAGUCGCACUCUCUAUCAGCAAAGGUCUAGCAUCCAUUAAGCCUUUUUUUUCAACUUUUGACCUCGGAUCAGGUAGGGAUACCCGCUGAACUUAAGCAUAUCAAUAGUCG